This 1109-nucleotide ribosomal RNA is filed under the name Thalassicolla melacapsa. Its description in RNAcentral is "bacterial SSU rRNA". It matches the Rfam family "Eukaryotic small subunit ribosomal RNA", at positions 651 to 1789 of the family's 1831-position model. Lineage: Eukaryota; Polycystinea; Collodaria; Thalassicollidae. The record is from RNAcentral.
AUUUUGUGUAGUCUUAAUUAACUAUAAAGAAGUAGAUUUAUCUUGAUAUAUAUAGAUUUAUUCUGUUGGUAUUCAUUUUUCGAUAGUUAUUUAUGUUUGUUUAACUUUGAAAAAAUGAGAGUGUUCUAAGCAGUCAUUCGUUAUGAUUUUAAAGUAUGGAAUGAUAAGUAAAGAUGUUGGCCCAUUUUGAUUUUUUUGAGGGAUUGAUAUAAUGAUUUAUACAGUGUUUUGGAGGUGUUAGUAUUUUGUCGUUAGAAGUGAAAUUCUUGGAUCGAGAGAAGACAAACAACAGCAAAAGCAUUCAUCAAGGAUCUACUAUUUGGUCAAGAACGUAAGUUGUGGGAUCAAAGACGAUCAGAUACCGUCGUAGUCUCAACUAUAAACAAUAUCAAUUAGGGAUUAGGAAAUGUAUCUAUAACAUUGUUAGAAACUUAAGAGAAAUCAAAGUGUUUGGAUUUCGGGGGGAGUAUGGUUGCAAGACUGAAACUUAAAGGAAUUGACGGAAGGGCACCACAAGAUGUGUAUUCUGUGGCUUAAUUUAAUUCAACACAGGAAAACUUAUCAGGUCUAGACAUAGGAGUUAUUGACAGAUUAAUAGCUCUUUCUUAAUUCUGUGGGUUGUGGUGCAUGGCCGUUCUUAGUUGGUGGAGCAAUUUGUCUGGUUAAUUCCGUUAACGAACGAGACUAUUUCCUGUUAAUUCGCGUGAUAUUUAGAUUAAUAUUUUUGCUUCUUUGAGAAACUAGUUUUGCCUAAAAAGCUGGAAGUUGGUAGCAAUAACAGGUCUGUGAUGCCCUUAAACGUUCUGAGCAGCGCACGGGCUACAAUAGGCGAAUUACUAUGCUUAAUAUCUUAAUUCGAAAAGAGUUGAGAAAUCAUGACACUUACCUAUAGUUGGGUUUACACAUUUCAAUUUUUAUGUAUAAACUAGGAAUAUCUAGUAAGACUAGGUCAUUAACGUUGUUUGAAUGCGUCCCUGCCUUUUGUACACACCGCCCGUCGCUCCUACCGAUCGGAUUAGUUAGUGAUUGAGUUUGAUGAAGAGUUAACUCACAGAUGGAUAAUAAUACGGUUAAAUUUGCAAACUAGAUUAUUUAGAGGAAGGAGAAGU